AACGAACGCUGGCGGCAUGCCUAACACAUGCAAGUCGAACGAGACCUUCGGGUCUAGUGGCGCACGGGUGCGUAACGCGUGGGAACCUGCCCUUAGGUUCGGCAUAACUCCCCGAAAGGGGUGCUAAUACCGGAUAAUGUCUUCGGACCAAAGAUUUAUCGCCUUUGGAUGGGCCCGCGUUGGAUUAGCUAGUUGGUAGGGUAAAAGCCUACCAAGGCGACGAUCCAUAGCUGGUCUGAGAGGAUGAUCAGCCACACUGGGACUGAGACACGGCCCAGACUCCUACGGGAGGCAGAAGUGGGGAAUAUUGGACAAUGGGCGAAAGCCUGAUCCAGCAAUGCCGCGUGAGUGAUGAAGGCCUUAGGGUGGUAAAGCUCUUUUACCCGGGAUGAUAAUGACAGUACCGGGAGAAUAAGCUCCGGCUAACUCCGU
RNAcentral lists this ribosomal RNA (432 nucleotides) under uncultured bacterium. RNAcentral describes it as "partial 16S ribosomal RNA". It matches the Rfam family "Bacterial small subunit ribosomal RNA", at positions 29 to 506 of the family's 1533-position model. The record is from RNAcentral.